RNAcentral lists this ribosomal RNA (338 nucleotides) under Vibrio cholerae. RNAcentral describes it as "bacterial SSU rRNA". It matches the Rfam family "Bacterial small subunit ribosomal RNA", at positions 1 to 334 of the family's 1533-position model. The record is from RNAcentral. Lineage: Bacteria; Pseudomonadati; Pseudomonadota; Gammaproteobacteria; Vibrionales; Vibrionaceae.
UUAAUUGAAGAGUUUGAUCAUGGCUCAGAUUGAACGCUGGCGGCAGGCCUAACACAUGCAAGUCGAGCGGCAGCACAGAGGAACUUGUUCCUUGGGUGGCGAGCGGCGGACGGGUGAGUAAUGCCUGGGAAAUUGCCCGGUAGAGGGGGAUAACCAUUGGAAACGAUGGCUAAUACCGCAUAACCUCGCAAGAGCAAAGCAGGGGACCUUCGGGCCUUGCGCUACCGGAUAUGCCCAGGUGGGAUUAGCUAGUUGGUGAGGUAAGGGCUCACCAAGGCGACGAUCCCUAGCUGGUCUGAGAGGAUGAUCAGCCACACUGGAACUGAGACACGGUCCAG